Xiphophorus couchianus (Monterrey platyfish) is the source of this 378-nucleotide long non-coding RNA. RefSeq lists it as uncharacterized. NCBI's taxonomy places the organism in Eukaryota, Metazoa, Chordata, Actinopteri, Cyprinodontiformes, Poeciliidae. The transcript has 3 exons. The record is from RefSeq and is a predicted model, not a curated record.
UGUUUUGAUUCUACUGAAUCUCAGAGCUGCAUUCAACUUCGUUGAUAAUUUCCUGAUUGAUAGACUGAAAAUGCGAGUGAGGUUGUCAGAGAGACCCACCCCCAGCAAUGACCUCAGCGCCAGGCACCUCCGAGGGCCCUUGAAGUGGUCCCUGUUCUGGAAGAUAAAUGAAGUGUCUAAGGACCUGCUGUCUGCAGAAAGCUUAUUGGAGUACUUCUGAACGCUGAUAGCUUUGCUGCGUGGUGUAUGUGCUGAAGACAGAAGCCCAGAGGGUCCAAACUUUGUGUGAGGAGAAGAGGCUGAACUACACAGUGCUUAUUAUUCCUGACAGAAGCCACACUGGGGCUGUGAAUACAGUCACAGCUACCGAGAAUAAUA